RNAcentral lists this ribosomal RNA (501 nucleotides) under uncultured bacterium. Its description in RNAcentral is "partial 16S ribosomal RNA". It matches the Rfam family "Bacterial small subunit ribosomal RNA", at positions 30 to 523 of the family's 1533-position model. The record is from RNAcentral.
AUUGAACGCUGGCGGCAUGCCUUACACAUGCAAGUCGAACGGCAGCACGGGUGCUUGCACCUGGUGGCGAGUGGCGAACGGGUGAGUAAUAUAUCGGAACGUACCUUAUUGUGGGGGAUAACGCAGCGAAAGCUGUGCUAAUACCGCAUAAUCCCUAAGGGGGAAAGCGGGGGACCGUAAGGCCUCGCGCAAUUAGAGCGGCCGAUACCUGAUUAGCUAGUUGGUAGGGUAAAGGCUCAAUAAGGCAACGAUCAGUAGCUGGUCUGAGAGGACGAUCAGCCACACUGGGACUGAGACACGGCCCAGACUCCUACGGGAGGCAGCAGUGGGGAAUUUUGGACAAUGGGGGCAACCCUGAUCCAGCAAUGCCGCGUGAGUGAAGAAGGCCUUCGGGUUGUAAAGCUCUUUUGUCAGGGAAGAAACAGCAGCUCUAACACAGUUUGCGAAUGACGGUACCUGAAGAAUAAGCACCGGCUAACUACGUGCCAGCCGCCGCCGUAA